CUCGGCGCUUCUAGCGAUAGGGUCACACCCGAUCCCAUUCCGAACUCGGCCGUUAAGCCUGUCAGCGCUGAUGGUAGCUCGCAAGGGCGAGAGUAAGCCAGUGCCGGGA
This 109-nucleotide ribosomal RNA is filed under the name Candidatus Moranbacteria bacterium RIFOXYA12_FULL_44_15. The record is from RNAcentral. Lineage: Bacteria; Candidatus Moraniibacteriota.